This 797-nucleotide ribosomal RNA is filed under the name human gut metagenome. RNAcentral describes it as "bacterial SSU rRNA". It matches the Rfam family "Bacterial small subunit ribosomal RNA", at positions 542 to 1340 of the family's 1533-position model. The record is from RNAcentral.
UAUCCGGAUUUAUUGGGUUUAAAGGGUGCGUAGGCGGCCUUUUAAGUCAGCGGUGAAAGUCUGUGGCUCAACCAUAGAAUUGCCGUUGAAACUGGGAGGCUUGAGUAUGUUUGAGGCAGGCGGAAUGCGUGGUGUAGCGGUGAAAUGCAUAGAUAUCACGCAGAACCCCGAUUGCGAAGGCAGCCUGCCAAGCCAUGACUGACGCUGAUGCACGAAAGCGUGGGGAUCAAACAGGAUUAGAUACCCUGGUAGUCCACGCAGUAAACGAUGAUCACUAGCUGUUUGCGAUACAGUGUAAGCGGCACAGCGAAAGCGUUAAGUGAUCCACCUGGGGAGUACGCCGGCAACGGUGAAACUCAAAGGAAUUGACGGGGGCCCGCACAAGCGGAGGAACAUGUGGUUUAAUUCGAUGAUACGCGAGGAACCUUACCCGGGUUUGAACGCAUUUCGACCGCUCUGGAAACAGAGCCUUUUCUAGCGAUAGCGAUUUGCGAGGUGCUGCAUGGUUGUCGUCAGCUCGUGCCGUGAGGUGUCGGCUUAAGUGCCAUAACGAGCGCAACCCUUGCCACUAGUUACUAACAGGUAAAGCUGAGGACUCUGGUGGGACUGCCAGCGUAAGCUGCGAGGAAGGCGGGGAUGACGUCAAAUCAGCACGGCCCUUACAUCCGGGGCGACACACGUGUUACAAUGGCGUGGACAAAGGGAUGCCACCUGGCGACAGGGAGCGAAUCCCCAAACCACGUCUCAGUUCGGAUCGGAGUCUGCAACCCGACUCCGUGAAGCUGGAUUCGCUAGUA